Molecule: ribosomal RNA, 253 nt
Filed under: uncultured bacterium
Lineage: Bacteria
Description: partial 16S ribosomal RNA
Rfam family: Bacterial small subunit ribosomal RNA
Source: RNAcentral
UACGAAGGGGGCUAGCGUUGUUCGGAUUUACUGGGCGUAAAGCGCACGUAGGCGGAUCGUUAAGUCGGGGGUGAAAUCCUGGAGCUCAACUCCAGAACUGCCUUCGAUACUGGCGAUCUUGAGUCCGGAAGAGGUGAGUGGAACUCCUAGUGUAGAGGUGGAAUUCGUAGAUAUUAGGAAGAACACCAGUGGCGUUGGCGGCUUUCUUGUCCGGUACUGACGCUGAGGUGCGAAAGCGUGGGGAGCAAACAGG